GUGAGCUGGGUUCAGAACGUCGUGAGACAGUUCGGUCCCUAUCUGCCGUGGGUGUUGGAAUAUUGAGAGGAUUUGUCCCUAGUACGAGAGGACCGGGAUGAACGUACCUCUGGUGGAGCUGUUGUCGCGCCAGCGGCAGUGCAGCAUAGCUAUGUACGGACGGGAUAACCGCUGAAAGCAUCUAAGCGGGAAACCCACCUCAAAACGAGUAUUCCCUUGAGAACCGUGGAAGACGACCACGUUGAUAGGCCGGGUGUGGAAGUGCAGUAAUGCAUGUAGCUUACCGGUACUAAUCGUUCGAUUGGCUUGAUUGC
This 314-nucleotide ribosomal RNA is filed under the name Afipia sp. RNAcentral's name for it is "partial 23S ribosomal RNA". It matches the Rfam family "Bacterial large subunit ribosomal RNA", at positions 2600 to 2925 of the family's 2925-position model. The record is from RNAcentral. Lineage: Bacteria; Pseudomonadati; Pseudomonadota; Alphaproteobacteria; Hyphomicrobiales; Nitrobacteraceae.